This 368-nucleotide ribosomal RNA is filed under the name uncultured organism. RNAcentral's name for it is "bacterial LSU rRNA". It matches the Rfam family "Bacterial large subunit ribosomal RNA", at positions 2099 to 2465 of the family's 2925-position model. The record is from RNAcentral.
CUUUACUGUAGCCUGGUAUUGGGUUCGGGCUUUGACUGCGCAGGAUAGGUGGGAGACUGAGAAGUGUGCCUUGUGGGGCACAUAGAGUCAACGGUGAGAUACCACUCUGUCAGAGCUAGAAUUCUAACCUUCACCCGUGAUCCGGGGAAGGAACCGUAUCAGGUGGGCAGUUUGACUGGGGCGGUCGCCUCCUAAAAGGUAACGGAGGCGCGCAAAGGUGUUCUCAGGCUGGUUGGAAAUCAGCCGUAGAGUGUAAAGGCAGAAGAACGCUUGACUGUGAGAGUGACAACGCAAGCAGGGUGGAAACACGGCCUUAGUGAUCCGACGGUAUGCGAGUGGAAGUGCCGUCGCUCAGCGGAUAAAAGUUA